GUGAGGAAUAUUGGUCAAUGGGCGGGAGCCUGAACCAGCCAAGUCGCGUGAAGGAAGAAGGAUCUAUGGUUCGUAAACUUCUUUUGCAGGGGAAUAAAGUGCAGGACGUGUCCUGUUUUGUAUGUACCCUGAGAAUAAGGAUCGGCUAACUCCGUGCCAGCAGCCGCGGUAAUACGGAGGAUCCGAGAGUUAUCCGGAUUUAUUGGGUUUAAAGGGUUCGUAGGUGGUUUGAUAAGUCAGCGGUGAAAGUUUGCAGCUUAACUGUAAAAUUGCCGUUGAAACUGUCGGUCUUGAGUGCAAAUGAGGUAGGCGGAAUGUGUUGUGUAGCGGUGAAAUGCUUAGAUAUAACACAGAACUCCGAUUGCGAAGGCAGCUUACUGGGAUGCAACUGACACUGAUGCACGAAAGCGUGGGUAUCAAACAGGAUUAGAAACCCGAGUAGUCC
Molecule: ribosomal RNA, 445 nt
Filed under: uncultured bacterium
Lineage: Bacteria
Description: partial 16S ribosomal RNA
Rfam family: Bacterial small subunit ribosomal RNA
Source: RNAcentral